Molecule: long non-coding RNA, 119 nt
Organism: Etheostoma cragini (Arkansas darter)
Lineage: Eukaryota; Metazoa; Chordata; Actinopteri; Perciformes; Percidae
Exons: 3
Source: RefSeq, a predicted model, not a curated record
AAAGUGCAGUCAAUCAAUCAGAGGUCCAUCUCCCAUUCCCUUUAAAACCCGGGCGCGUUUGGACCUUGGUGCAUUUCUAUUAUGAUGGAGGAUUUGCAUUGCGCGGGUGUGUGUGUGUG